This 253-nucleotide ribosomal RNA is filed under the name uncultured bacterium. RNAcentral's name for it is "partial 16S ribosomal RNA". It matches the Rfam family "Bacterial small subunit ribosomal RNA", at positions 524 to 776 of the family's 1533-position model. The record is from RNAcentral.
GACGGAGGAUGCAAGCGUUAUCCGGAAUGAUUGGGCGUAAAGCGUCCGCAGGUGGCAGUUCAAGUCUGCUGUCAAAGACCGGGGCUUAACUUCGGAAAGGCAGUGGAAACUGAACAGCUAGAGUAUGGUAGGGGCAGAGGGAAUUCCUGGUGUAGCGGUGAAAUGCGCAGAUAUCAGGAGGAACACCAGUGGCGAAGGCGAGUCUCUGGACAUUUCCUGACGCUGAGGCACGAAAGCCAGGGGAGCAAACGGG